GACCCGAAAGUGGUGAACUGCUUGAUCAGGUCGAGUCAGGGGAACCCUGAUGGAGGACGCGAAAUUCUGACGUGCAAAUCGAUUGUCAGAGUUGAGCAUAGGGGCGAAAGACCAAUCGAACCAUCUAGUAGCUGG
Molecule: ribosomal RNA, 135 nt
Filed under: Anopheles funestus (African malaria mosquito)
Lineage: Eukaryota; Metazoa; Arthropoda; Insecta; Diptera; Culicidae
Description: eukaryotic large subunit ribosomal RNA
Rfam family: Eukaryotic large subunit ribosomal RNA
Source: RNAcentral